GCCCGGCCGGCCGGCGUGCUGGUGGCCGGCGCACUCGUAAUGCGUAGGUCAAGGGUUCGAUUCCCUUAGGCGGCUCCA
RNAcentral lists this transfer RNA (78 nucleotides) under Streptomyces litchfieldiae. Its description in RNAcentral is "Streptomyces sp. DSM 44938 tRNA-Thr". The stretch from base 10 to 75 matches the Rfam family "tRNA". From Rfam's summary of the family: Transfer RNA (tRNA) molecules are approximately 80 nucleotides in length. Their secondary structure includes four short double-helical elements and three loops (D, anti-codon, and T loops). The record is from RNAcentral. RNAcentral also lists the same sequence under 1 other name. Lineage: Bacteria; Bacillati; Actinomycetota; Actinomycetes; Kitasatosporales; Streptomycetaceae.